Molecule: ribosomal RNA, 248 nt
Filed under: uncultured bacterium
Lineage: Bacteria
Description: partial 16S ribosomal RNA
Rfam family: Bacterial small subunit ribosomal RNA
Source: RNAcentral
AAGAUGGCGACCGGCGCACGGGUGAGUAACACGUAUCCAACCUGCUGAUAACUCCGGAAUAGCCUUUCGAAAGAAAGAUUAAUACCGGAUGGCAUACGAAUAUCGCAUGAUAUUUUUAUUAAAGAAUUUCGGUUAUCGAUGGGGAUGCGUUCCAUUAGUUUGUUGGCGGGGUAACGGCCCACCAAGACUACGAUGGAUAGGGGUUCUGAGAGGAAGGUCCCCCACAUUGGAACUGAGACACGGUCCAA